AAGCAUCAAAUAUGGUAAAAUUCGAUUGAGAGAAUUCGGGUAGAAAAUCACAAAGAAGGUAAGAUCCGAGAUUCUCCAAAGCGGGUCGAAAACAAUUAAUUCCGGGUCAAAAUUUUGAUCCGAUUAGGGACCCCAAAAACUGCUGCAAAAAUGUAUAGUAGAAUAUAAUUGAAUACCUCUACAUCUCUCUUAUCUAUUUAUAGUAUCAUCACCGGAUAAGUAAUGCAUCGCUCACCACAAAAUUGUCGGAGAAAUGGAUUCAUCACUUAACAUCAUCGACGUGGCACAAGUCACUCCUUCAAACUCUGACUCGGCGGAGUCACUCACUCUCCCACUCACCUUCUUCGACCUUAUUUAUUUCAAACUUCGCGCUGUCGAACGAGUCAUCUUCUACAGACUCACUGACGCAACUCGCCCUUUCUUCGACUCAGUCAUCGUUCCAAAUCUCAGAACCUCUCUCUCCUCAUGCCUCUCUCACUAUCUCCCACUCGCCGGCAAACUUGUAUAGGAACCUCUUGAUCUCAAACCAAGCAUCGUCUAUUCCCAAAACGACGCCGUUUCAUUCACUGUUGCCGAGACAAACGCGGAGUUCUCUCGUUUAUCCGGCAACAAACAAUUCCCCUCCACCGAGUUAUACCCGUUAGUCCCCGAGUUACUCAGCUCCGACAACUCAGCCUCCGUUGUGUCGUUCCAAGUCACGUUAUUUCCAAACCAAGGGUUUUGCAUCGGCGUAACCGCACACCAUGCCGUUUUAGAUGGAAAAACGACAACCAUGUUUCUCAAAUCUUGGGCACACUCAUGUUAAACAUCAAGAUUCUUCUCUACCGCAGGAUUUAAUCCCAAAUUACAAUCGUACGGUCAUAAAAAGUCCAACGGAUAGUGAAAACAAAGUUUUGGAUGAGUGGCACUCUUUAGCCAAAAUGUUAGCGGGUGGUAAAGAACCUGAGAACCCCAAGAGUUUAAAGCUUAAACCGUCAUUUGAGAUUGGUCCUGACGUUGUCCGGUACACUCUCGAGCUCACUCGUGAAGAUAUCCAAACGCUUCGCGAGAGACUUAAGAGAGAAUUUUCUUCCUCCUCACCCUCACCCUCAAAGGACCUUCGCUUGUCUACAUUUGUUAUUGUUUACUCAUACGCGUUAGUGUGCUUAAUAAGAGCUCGAGGCGGAGAACCGAAUAGACCGGUUGGAUAUGCAUUUUCAGUAGAUUGUCGAAGCCUCAUCAAUCCACCCACCCCAAGUUAUUUUGGAAAUUGUAUCUCUGGUUGCUUGAGAAUGAUGUUGAAGGCAAAAACGUUUAUGGGUGAAGAAGGGCUUUUGGCUGCUGCGAAAAUGGUCAGCGAUUCGAUCGAGGAAUGGGACGAGAGUUUGGCAUGGAAGAUUUCGGAUUUCCUAGCAUUUGCAACUCUUCCACCAGGGACACAAAUUAUUUUAGCUUCCGGGUCUACCCGAUUUGGAGUAUACGGGUUGGAUUUCGGAUGGGGCAGACCGGAUAAAGUGGUGAUUGUGUCGAUCAGUCAAGGCAAUGGGAUUUCCAUGGCGGAUAGUAGAGACCAAAACGGCGGUGUGGAGAUUGGCUUCUCACUCAAGAAACAAGAAAUGGACACACUAAUUGAUUUGCUCCAAUAUGAUCUAAAAAAUUAAACCACCUUUUCUUCUUCACAUGAAUAAAAUUGUUUUUCCUAAAUGAUAUCUUCAAAACGAUAACGCCAACUUAUCUAAUCAAUUUCUUUUUAGUAAUAUUGUGAGAUAUCCAUAUUUGUGUAUAUCAGUAUAUGCUUAAGAAAAUGACUAGUAUAAUCAUUUGGUGACAAAAAGAAAAAUAUGUAACAUUUCUACAACUUUUUGGAUAUAUACGAACGUAUAAAUGGA
RNA transcript from Arabidopsis lyrata subsp. lyrata, 1868 nucleotides. It is a transcript of the gene named phenolic glucoside malonyltransferase 1, with no coding region annotated. The record is from RefSeq and is a predicted model, not a curated record. The transcript has a single exon. Lineage: Eukaryota; Viridiplantae; Streptophyta; Magnoliopsida; Brassicales; Brassicaceae.